AGAGGCAGGCGGAUCUCUGUGAGUUCGAGGCCAGCCUGGUCUACAGAGUGAGUUCCAGGACAGCCUCCAAAGCUACAGAGAAACCCUGUCUCAAAAAG
Mesocricetus auratus (golden hamster) is the source of this 98-nucleotide microRNA precursor. The record is from Ensembl. NCBI's taxonomy places the organism in Eukaryota, Metazoa, Chordata, Mammalia, Rodentia, Cricetidae.